ACUACACCAUUUGCUCCAUUUUCUGAGAAUUUCUCAGUGGAUGCUUUAAAAACCAAGGAUGAAUUCAGCAUCUCUAUUUUAUGUGGAAGCUGUUCUCAGCAUCAUUUGUUUUCUUACUUGGGUGGAAAAGAUAGCUGGCCUCCCCUGCAGCUAGGUAAGAUCAUGUAAUGGAAUUCUGGCCAAUGGAAUAUGAGUGGAGUUAAUGUGGGUAACCUCCAUGAUGGGCAAAGAAACACCUCCCAGGAAAAAGUCUUGAUUUUUCCUCAUGUCUGCUGACUACAUAUCGACUCUUGAAUAGACUUGAGUAUCUGCUGUUGAAGGAUGCAGAGGCUCUGUCAGCCUGGGCCCCUGAGUGACUUCAUGGAGUAUACCAUCUCUCCAACUGGAUUUUAUCUUUCAGUGGUUCAGUUUUUCUCCACUGUUUCCACCAAAAUACCAUCAACAGUAAGGAAGAACAAUGUGGACCACCAGAAGGCUGGAGUGUUUUCUGAAGCUGCUCCUGCUUGGACUUUGGUUGGAAGUCGUGAUUGUCUGAGGGUUCAUGCUGGCGCUCCCCCAGUGAACCUAGCUCACCUACCCUCUGCUCUGGCUCUAGUCUCUCUUCCCUUCUUCUAAGGGAGGCUACUGCUGUGCUCAGUGCGGAGCUGGGUUCAAGGAGAGCUGGGGCUCUGAAGGAGUCGUGGGGAGAAGGCUGACAUGAGUCCUGAGUGAGUGGACCUGCUCUCUCUGGCCCUGAAGGGGUCAAGAGGCAACUGGGUGUGUGGGCUGAGUCUUUCCUGGCCCUGAAGCUGGAAGUAGAGGCUUUGUGCAGGAUCCUCAGCAGGGGACUAAAAGCCUGUGCUUUCAUAACCCGAGCCACACUGGCAAGUGCGCUGCCUCCUCCCACCUUUGAGACAGUUGCCUUCAGGAGCACAUCUACCAGAAGCCAACAAAGAAAAGCAACAGCCUCUUGGAGGGGCCUUUCUCCAGGGAGAGAAGGGUGAGGCAGCACAGGCAGAGCUGGUGUAGGAGACACAAGACAGUAUGAAUUUCAAAAUCAGAGCAUUGAAGGAGAUUCAAAUAUGGCACAAAAAGAGUUUCUGGAGCUAAAAAUCAUAAUUUCCUAACUAAAUACCAUUCAGUAGAUUAACUGAAAAAGUGGAAGAUCACCGUGAAGAUAUGGUCAGCUCUCCUGGAGGGUCAAAGGGCAGACAGACCCCUUGAUGAAAAGGGUGGUAUAGAGCAAAUGUAGAAAGAGAUGGGAAGCAAGUAGAAAUGGGUAAGGAACAUGGGAUGGAUCCUAAAACCUUGACUUGUGAAUAGAGAAACCUUGACUUGCAGAAAGAGGAAAAAAUAGAACCAACGGAGGAGAGGUGACCAUGAUACUAACAAUAAAAGAAAACUUCCCUGAAC
Molecule: long non-coding RNA, 1392 nt
Filed under: Homo sapiens (human)
Lineage: Eukaryota; Metazoa; Chordata; Mammalia; Primates; Hominidae
Description: non-protein coding lnc-SOD2-2:2
Source: RNAcentral